CGCUGCUCCUUCUUUUGUCUAAUUACCUGUGCCAAUCAUAUGCUUGAGGAAGAUGAGUCACAUUACUGCCCAAAUAUGUGGCCACAAGACCAAAAGCUUACUGGAAAGCAAUGUUCAAUUAAAGCAAGAUCAAAGAUGGAAAGGAGGGAGAAUUGCAGCAGCACAGGUAAUAAAGGGUAACGUUAUGGCAAAUAUAUAAAGCUGAUGGGAAAGAUUUAUAGGCCACUGAGACACUUUGAAGUAAAAGUAAUGACAUGCCAAAAAAAAAAAAAAAAAAGGCUUUUGGUGGAAGACCGAUUCUUUUCCCUUUGCUUUUUAUCAGGAAAAAAAGAAAACUAGCUGGAGGAAGGCUUUUUAGGAUGGAGAUCUGACAAAAAAUGCAGUAGUAGGAGGCAGAGGAAGGGGGAAAGUAAAGUAAAAGAGUCUUCCUGCUUGUUGUUUCUGUCAAUAAAAGAAGAAACAACAACCAAAAAAAGCAGUUGUCCAGAAACUGAUUCCUGGGUAUACAUCACACUUUCCAGACCUGGAAUAUUUAGCUCAGUUAGACUCGGUACCAGUACAGAAUCAGGGUGCUCAAUAGAUUCUCGCUUCAGCAUUGGUUUCAUUCUACUCUUUCAGCUUUCUCUCCGUGAAGACCCUUGUAUCAGCAUUCAGAAUUGAUUGAAUGCAUGGAUAGCAUUUUUCCCCCUCAACUUCCAAACUGUUCGACCAAAAGUCUUACCAGAAACCUACAUCCUGUAAGGGCCAAAGGGCUUCUGUCCUUCUCUGAAGGAGCUUUGUGCUGAGUUGAACACACCUGCACAGACAAGGCAUUGUGUAUGCACAGCAUGGCAUAGAGCUUUUCUGAAAAAUCCAGCUCCCUGAACAUCCUUUGUGUGUGUGUGUAGGAGGACACAUCCUCUUGAGUGUAGAGGAUUUACUGCAGGGUAUAUAUGAAACCCUGAAAUAAAACAUAUAUGGAGCCAGCCCCAUAUUUCACAAAAACAUAGCAGUCGUUCUUCAGCUGUAUAGCAAACAUAAGACAAGUGGAACUUCCUGCAGGAUCACUUGCAUGGACAAGCCAUCUGCUCCAUUCCCAUACCAUGGUAGGUGGCAGAGGGGAGAGAGGGACUGUGGGGCCUUGUGAGAGAACACAGCUAUGGGAGAACGGGCUUGGAGCAGUGCUGCUGAGUAAAUUGAAGUUGUCCCACGUUUUAACCUGAGAUAGCAUAGGCUUGACUUUCAGAGUUACCAAGCACUUCUGUCUCCUUUUGCCUUGAGUUUGAGCUGCAGCAGCACAUGCUCAUUUGUAAUAGAGUCUCAAAUUAUAGAAAAAAAGUUCAUUUCUCAUAAACGGUGGCCCCACAUUUUAGUGGACAUACUGUGAGUGUGAUGAGCCUAAAUCAAGGCAGUGUGGAUUAAGCUGCCUCUCUAAUUUUCCAGCUCACUAUUCGAGGGUGUUUGUCAAUCUAAAACUCAUUUACAGCCUUCACAGUAUUGUCUUUUAUUAAAAUUCCUUUGAAAUUCUUAUCCAUUAUCUUGGCAUUCUGCAGAGGGUAUGAUUAUGCCCCAAAGUAUGGUUGAACAGAUUCCCUUAUAUGAAUGACAACUUCUAACCCUCCUCUGUAAGUAAUGGUUCAAUUUCUGAGUCGUCUUUUUUUUUCUUCUCCUUACCAUUUGAUAUCUCAGGACACAUUUCUACCGAUCUGAAUCUAAAUGAGGCGGACAGCUAUCUUUGAUUUGUUUCUGUUCCUUCUCAUCUAUACAAAAUAGCUUGCAUUAAUCGUAUUAAUAAAAAAUGGCAUUAAAAUUACCAAGUUUUAAAAAGACACAUGACAGUGAUAUUACCCACCAAGUUGCAAGUCAUUGUGCAUGCAUAUUAAUUACAAGUUGUCUUAGAUUUCAGGACAUGCUCAAAGGAAUGACAUUUUUCCCUGUAUGUUGUUUUUAAUUUUGGGAAGCUCUCUUGUAAUGCAAAAUGUAUCCCAUCCUAAUGCAGUUCUCUAAUCACAGCAUGCUUUAAUUCUGAUAGAUGACCCCUGAAUGCUUUGAGUCUACUAAGAUUCACGGUAAUUAGAAUGAUUUUCUAAUACUUUGUUUCCUGAGCUGUCCGUGGUGGCUUCCAUCUAUCAUCAGAUGGAUUUGUUUACUCAUUCAGAUCAAGUAAUUUGAAUUGGAAGCUUAUAUUUGUCGCUGUGUGGUGGAGGGAAUGUUAUCAUUUAUUUCACUCUCAUCACUGCUCCCUCUUUUUGAGGGAUUGUGCUCUGAAGAAGCACAUGUUUUUCAGUAAGGUUUGAAGCCCUCCCUCCCUCAGUCUCCAAGCAGGAGCACUGAUCAGUGCGAGUGUUAACAGUCUCCACAUCCAUCCUGGAUGCCAGCCAUGGAAAUUGGAAGCACAAGGUAGAAUUCACCAGGCAUUUUCUUUUUUAUCUCUGUUCCACUUUUCUCUCUCCUUUCUCUUUUUAAUCUAAUGCUUCUUUGCGCGUACAAAUCUAGUGUGUUUUCAGUAUGGAAUAUUUUUUGAAAGUGGCUGUAUAAAACAAGACAGUGUUGAAGAAGUUCAUCGCCUGUACUCUCCAGGUAACCUGUCAUUUUUGUCCUGCCUCUGUCAUUCCUCAUCUGUCCUUGGAGGAGCAGCAGCAUCUUUCUCAGUAGUGCUUCACUGUCUUAUCAGUGUUGACUCGCACCCUUUCCCUGUCCCGUUGUUUUCUUUCACCACUUUGCAUGUUAGGUCUGUCCUUUCGUAUCUCUGCUCCCCACUCCCACACAUUUCCUCCCUUCUUUCCCUGGAAUGCAUUUUCCCCUCCUUUGGUUUUUCUUGAUCACAUUCCUCCACGCCAGCAACCUCAUGCUGGGGCUGUGUAACACUCCAUCCCACCUUCUCUCCAGAGCCUCCUGUCACAGGGCUUCCUCCUUGUCCCUGAUCCCAAGCAGCAGAUGCUGUGGCACAGUGCAGCAGGAUCUUAUAUUGCCAUGCAAGGCAAGAGGCUGCUAACCCUCGAACAGCUUUAUCAAUGGUUCAGUGCGGGGAGGCAGUUAAGUAAUAGCUGCCAGCCCCAGAGGAAAGAGCAAUAAACUUGUCUCUCUGGGCAGUGAGCUGGAGGAGCAGCUGGAAUCCAGCACAUGCCUUUGUCUGGCAUGUGUUGGAUGGAGCUCCAUCAGCCAGUGGGCUGAGAGCAAGGAGCACAGCCUGCAAAGCAGCACCCUGGCCUGGCCCUCUAGCAUGAUGUUUGCAAGGCUUUGCUCGCACGCAGGUGGUUUCACUCACUAUUUGAGAGGUGAUGAGACCACAUCCCAGCCAAGGACAAGGUGGGAAGUCUGUGCCACCAUUCGCCAGUGCCUGGGUGUAUGUGGUGAGCCCAGGAGGUUCCUGAUGUGAAAAACCAAAAAGGGAUAAUUUCUUCCUGAGCAGGUUAAUAAUCAGAUCAUAUUAACAAGUAAAAUUUGAUUAGGCUUCUGAUUAGGAAGGAAUAAGCCAGGAGUUUGAAGCUUGUUGUGUCAACAGAACAGAUUAGCUUCAAUAUGAUGUUCUGCUUUCAUUAAGAAAUUGAUAAUAAAAUUAUAGCAUCUGAAUUCCUCAUGAGAUUCUGAACAUGAUACAAAGCUUUGAGAUGAUGGCUAAAUGUUACAGGAUAGCACACUGAGACUUUUAGUCAACAACCAGGUAGAAGUGUGUCAAAUCAUUUAAUUGCAAUAAAAAUAGUAAUGAGGGGUCAUGCAAGUGUUAUCUCUAACUUAAAUAAGUGAUUACACAGUACAGUGUUUGGAAAAACCUGCUGGGUUGCUGUUUGGCUGUGUAGAGGACCCUGAGUGUACUAUGGUACAAGGCUGUAUUUGCUGAAUAUAGCAGUUAAACAGUGGCCACGCAGAUUGCAGCCCCAUUCAGUGCUGGAAAAGUUCUGAGCAGUUCUGACUGUUGAACCUUUUCAUUAAGAAGUGUUAUGCUAAACAAUGUCACCAGCACUUCAUGAAUGGGUUAAUUAAAUGCAAUAAGUAACUGCCAAAGUAGUUUUCUCUAAAAUGGUAAUGAAGUUUGGGUUUUGGCAGAGAGCAGAUUUUAGAUGAAAAGGAGAAAAUCAUUCUUGUACAUCUUGUCAUGGAGCUGGGUUCUCUCAGCAGGUUUAGCAAUGGCCAGCAGAACUCCACGCACCAACCUGUUGUCAUUCUUCUUGCAUUCAUUCAAACCAGUAUAACACAAAUUCAGUGUAUCAGCUGGAAAGCUGUUAAAAACAUAUUGUAAAUGCCUAACAUAUUUAGGAACAUAAGUAAUGCUAAGCUUACAUUUCUCAUCAGAAUAGGAUCUGGUGCCAGCAUUAUGAAUCAUAGACUGCUCAGCAUCAGUAAGGGAAAAAAAAAAAACACAAAAACACACCAUUAAUGCUGCCUUGCUCUGCAGGCACCAGGGCUGUACUGAGAGGAAAUGAUCUCUGGUGCAAGCGGAGAUGGACUGCAAAUUCCAACUACAAACUUCCACCUGCUGUCAAGAGCAAUUACGGGUCAGAAGAAUGUGCCGUGAUGAUUGCUUGAUCUUUGUGCCUCUCCACCUUGCUCCCUGCCCUCCUGUAGUACUGCGGUGUGCUCAGUCUCCUGCGAAGUACUGUGGGGAAAGGCUGAAGUCUCCCUUGUUCAGCGUUGGAGCUAAGCUGGUUUCUGCCAGCCUGAGGAUCCCACCCUCUUCUAGAGACACAGGUCCUGACCCUCUGCUCCAAGAGAAGGCCCACACAACCACACAGAACCCCCCGGACCUCAUGGGACUCUCUGCACCAGCUGGAUUCUACAGGUUGAACAGAUUUGCAGUAUCACAGUCAGCAACAGCAUGAGCUCGAUCCCAGCUGGGCAAGCUUGUAUACCUGUUGCACUUUUACUAGCUUAAUAUACAGUGUCUCUUUCCAAGAGCACAUGGAGAAUCAUACCACUUUGUGAGAUCCUGAAUAGAAGAAUGAUUGCAGCAUUGAUGAAGAAAGCCCAUCAAGAAAUAUUGCUUCCAGUAAGGCAAGAGCGCUCCUGUGAGCAUUUAAAGCCAUAACUCAAAACCUUUGAAGUGUUACCUACACACAGGUAGGUAUAUACCACGGUGGUAUACUAUACAGUUUCUUUUUUUUUUUUCAAUUCCCCAAGUGCACAAGUCAAAACAACAACAACAACAACAACAAAAACAAGUACUAACAUAUCUAAAUGCCACAUUGCUUUAGUGUGUGUGUAUGCAGGUUAGAACUUGUAACUGGCUGGGGACUCGAGUCCGUUCUCGUAUCAUCAGAGUCAAAACCACUCCACUUCCUAUCCGCUUCCUAUGCACAAAAGGUAAGCAACAGAGCCAAGCUAACCCUGUGAUUGUUAGACAUGGAUUGCUGGAGAGAAGAGGUGGCCAGACGUUAAAUUUUAUGGUAUUAAACACCCACCUGGAAUGAUGACUGACACGUUUUGUCUCUUAAGUCUCAGAUUUAUGAUUGUUUUCUUCUAGUUUUUUAUUUUCUUCUAUAUUUCCGAGAUCUUUGUCUACAUGUUUUGAUGCUGUCCUAGAAUGAAAGAUUAGGGUUAUUUUUGCACUUCUACAGCACUCUGUUCCAUACUCACAUUAAUGAUGCUGCUCCCUGCCCCCCUUCCUACAGUUCUGUUUGGAGUGGAGCAAUAGGCUUGCAUAUGACUGUAAAUGGACCAAAAGCACCAGUUUCUCCACUGAAGCCGUACUUGUGUGUUUUAUAUCUUGGGAAAUGCAGAAUUAUUCUGAGCUAGCAAAGUAUGGUUGAACUGGUUGCGCAAACCAAUGUAUCUAGACAAAUUAAUUGUGUAGCUUGUUUCAAUAAACAAGAGUUUGCUUUAAGGCGUACUAAAAUGUUACAAGUGUGGCUAAGAUAUCUUGAUCAACAUAGCAAUCUUUUGUGUACUCGUAGUAAUUGGCUUUCAGAGGCUGUUCCAGACAGCAGCUCUUUAACUGUGAAGAAAUUAAUGAAAAUUCAGGCAGCACCAAAAAAAGAAAACAUUCUGUCUUCCAGAUCUGUGCUGGCUCUGACUGACAAGGUUUAGGUAAAGAAGGGAUUGUGUAAAUGUUUGAGGGGGAGAAAAGAGGUAUGCCUCAUUUAAAAUAGCAGGUUGUCUUUAAUACGAGUGGUGGAGAUGAAUUAAUGAGUAAAGUGCUUAGUUUGGCUUAGCACAAUAAAACCACUAAGCCAUUCAUUUAAUGUGUGAGAAGCCUCACUGUCUGCCAAGGUGAAAGAUUCCUGCAGAGCUGCGAUAACAUUUUGAAGGCCACAAUUUUUAAAAUGUAAAUGGGCAAAUGUGUUUGAGUGGGACAAAGUAAAUCCCUUGUGUCAAAGCAGAUUAUGGUAUAGGCAUUUUCUCUACGGAUAAUUUGUUUCCCCUACAGAAAAGUAACAUCUGUUGUGACAGAUUUAUGCAUAUGCUCACCCUUGCUUCAGGGUAAAGAUCUGCGGUGACACUGACUUGCAAAAUGCAAUGAAGACACAGGUAGGUAGGCAAGGGAGUGUGACAUAGGACGCGGACACCAUGCAGGUAUGUAUCUCACAAAAACACCAAUUCCAAUUGUUUGCUAUCGGAGUGUUUCAGUGCGCAUCCUCCAUCUGAGCAAAGGCUGCGAGCUGGGGCUGAGCUCUGCGUGUGCCCUGAGCUGAAGGAGCAGUAAAAGGUACUGUCAAUAAAGCACUGUUUAGUACUUAUCUCAGCAGAGCUUCUACCAGGUGCCGAUGCACCUGGCUCCUCAGCACCCCUGGGAGUGCAGUGGGAGAAGCGUGUGAUGAGCAGUGCCAGAGGGCGUGCAAUUUAGGGUCCCAAAUCCCACAGAGUACGCUGAAUGGAACCACUCUAAGACCAGAAAGGUUUUGAAGUAGGUUACUUCCUUGGUGGUUCAAACUUGUAAUGCCUCCAAGUUGCAUUUACCUUUUACUGAUGCUCUCAGACUGCCUCUGUUCUGCUUGUGUGGCUGACAGAAGGGCAGGUGUCUGUGCAGAAACAGUUUUGCUGUAAGCCCUCUUAUACACAGAUCCGAACUACUGAUUGUCACAGGCAAAUCUAAUUUUAAAAAUGCCAAAUUUGAAACCCAAAGUAACAUGUUCUACAGUGGCAAGUUAUCUAAAAUACCGAUAUCUAAAAGCCUGGAAGCACGUUCAGUGCACAGGAGGAAAGGAUGUAAGAUGUAAUGAAGAAGAAAAUCCCAUGAUUUGGUAGAGAUCGACCUUCUCCUGUGAUCAUAGUAACCCUUCACAAAUCUCUUUAAUCCUAGUUAAAAAACAAACAAAUAAAAUAUCCAAACAAAUAAAACCUUUAAAAAUUUGGAAAACUAUUUUUUUUCUAAUUAAAUUAAAAUGUAAAAAAUUGUUUGUUUUAGGUAGAGCACAGAAUCUGUCUUGUCACAGAUAACAAGCCUUUUCCAUAAAGAAGUCUUUCACAAAACUGGAGAUGGUAAGGAAAGAGAUGAAAAGCUGAAAGAAUCUGGAUCUGGGCAACUGCCAGAGCUGAUAUGAGCUGGAGGUGGGGAAGCAGCGCUGUGCUCAUCUGCUCUCACUUUAUGUGAGCACUUGGGGCUGCUCCUGCAGACGAGUGAGUGGAAUGGACAGACAAUUGGCAUGGCUCAGCAUGAUGCCUUUUUUUGGCCUCUUAUCCACAGUUUUAUAGGACCUAAGGCAGACUGGAUCUCAAAUGACCUGACAACUAACCACCUAAUGACAGGGAACUGUAACUAAGUGGCAUUACUGUUCUUUGAUCAGGUUAAAAUGGAUCAAUGACUACAGCUGGUAGGUCCUGCACUGCUAUCAAGAUGUAUUUUUCAGGUGUUCUACUGUAGCUCUGCAUUCAAUGGAACCAUGGUGUUCCCCUCACUAAAUGCCAUCUCUGUUUUCCUAGAGCCAACAAGGGUGAGAAUGGAGAGGUGAAAGGCAGCAUUCUGACUUUGAAAGAGAGUUCCCCAGAAUCCUGAUGUGGAGCACAGUGAGUAUUGCUUGUCUGAAAUCAGAGCAGCUUUUCAUGUCAGAAAGCCACACAGAUUUAGCUUUUCAUCAUCUGAGACUGAAAUACAUACAAAGUUCAAUUCUACUGUCUUGGUGAUCUCGCUGAUCGCUAAAUGCUGAUACAUGGGCAGAUUCACCACCUCAGUACAAAUUCUAUUCCUGUUUUUUUUUUUUUUAAGUGCUAAAUAGUAUUAUUAAGAGAGAGAAUCAAAAUUUGGACUGAGUUGCAGCGGUGUGAUCCAUUGGCAGUGCUGUGCCAACAGCAGACGAAUGGGCAACCCUGGUAUGGCACCAACCCUCAGGGCUUGACAGAUAUUGCCAGGGCUUGCAACAGAGUAAUGGCUCAAAACAGAGUUUCCGCCAUUUGCUGAAGUGACUUGAGACCUGAGAAUGGUCCUUUGCUACCUUAACAUUCAACGGCUGUUUCUUAAUUUUUUUGUGCACUGACUGCUGUCCACUUGCUCCACUUGUAGCUAAAGAGAGAAUUCCCGAUGACAUCUGAGCAGCUGGGCAACUCUGAACGGACUCACAUAUACCAGAGAAUGUGCCAAAAAGGGCAUGACAGCCCAUUUUGUCCCUGUCAUCUCACACACAUGAUUAACAGAUCCAAUAAGCCCCUACUUUAGUAUGCUUUGGCAAUGUUGUACCAUCCCUGGAGGCAUUCAAGGCCAGGCUUGAUGGGUUCCUGGCCAGCCUGAUCUAGUGGUUGGCAACCCUGCCCACAGCAGGAGGGUUGGAACUAGAUCAUCUUUGAGGUCCCUUCCAACACAAGCCAUUCUAGGAUUCUAUGAUAUUGCUCUAUGAUAUUGUGAAAGUUGGUUGUAUUCAUAUGAGCUUACUUAUAUCUCUUGGCUGGUUCUUUUUUUUUUUUAAUCAUUUUUUAAAACAGAUCAUUCCGAGCUCUUGCUAAAAUCAUGAUUCAUUUAUCUAUGCUCGCUCUUCAGGAAAAUAAUUAUCCUCGGGGAAUGCUAAUCAAAAUGUCUCUGUAAGUAGUGCCAAAAUGAGGUCUUCAGGGUUUUUUCUGUGUGUGUGUUGAGGGGCCAUUAUUUUCAUGCAUUUUGUUUAGAUACUUUUGAUAACAUUAUUCUUAAUAUAAAGACUUUUUUUUUUUCUAUCUCCAUUGUUUUGCUUGCUUUAUUGUAAACACACACUACAUAUAGGUUACACAUACCCACACAUAUAUAUAUCCUUUGGAGUUUAACCCCUAAUUUCUUUUUCUCUCAUGCAUCUAAACCUCAGCUGGAAUUCUGCUUAAGAAGAAAAUCUGCAGUGCCUUUUGUCCUGUUAUCCAGCUUGUGAUAAUGACAGGUAAGAGAACACACAUAGAUGUAGUUCUGGGUGUUGAAGCAAGAGCUAUGAACUUUGUUGUCUGCAGUACUUUUGAAAGGCAUGUUAAGACACUGAACUGUAACACUGGAAAGGAUUCUGUAGGAGCUGAGGAUCUUACCCAAGCAAAUCUGGACUAUUUGCAACCUCUUUCCAUUCUCCCCAAUUUUGCCUUCUAAUUCCUACAAUUACCUUCAAAUGCCUAUCAGUAGGAAGAAAGGCAAAAAGAAAAACACUCCAGUGAUAUAGAAAGGAGUGAUUUUGGUAAAUUCAAUUUAUUCAAUUUUCAUGCAAGUUUUGUGAUGUUAACUGACACUUCCAGAGUUGUUCACAACUUGGUCUUUUCUCUGGAAAGCAAUUGCAUGAAAAACUACGCGAGUGCUGCAUCUUGCUGAAAACAUACAGCAAGUUGCCUGUAUAUUUGCCCUGCUACAUUUGGUUUCAUAUGCUAAUUUCCUAUAAAGUAUCAGUACAGCAGAAUUGCUAUGCUUCAAGUGUUCAGUUUCAGAGCGAGACUAGUAACAUUCUUGAUUACUGUGAUCUAAGGAGAAUUUCAAUAUUUUGUUGUGCUCUGAGCAUGAACAAUUUUAAGACUGCUGCUGUGCUUCAAUUUGCCCAGCUGCAUAUACUUUUGCUGUCUUUUAAACUACUUUAACCUUUUCCUAGCAUCAUACAAAAGGAGAUUUGCAUACCUCUAGACCCAAAGAGCAAAAAUGGGCAAAGGUUCAAUCUACACACAGUGCUUCCAUGGAGAACAGGGAUGCAGGGUGCAUUGCUUUCUUUCUAAACCUUUAAUGUGUACAGAACUCUCAGUAGUUUCUGGCAACAUGAAAAUUUUGUAUAUGAAGGAUUUACAGAAGAUGGCUGUUCUAGAACUGCUCAACUGAAAUAUGGCAAAAAUUUUAUUAAGAUUCUUCAGUGCUAUAUUAUAUCCUCUGUUCAGUGCUAAUUAGAUUAAAAUAUGCUUUUUGGAAAAUGGACAAGGCUGUAGAAAACAAGCAUUUGGCCUUCUGCUCAGAUGAAGGAGAAAUAAAACGUGCUGGGAUAGGGAACCUCAGCUCUUAAUGUGAGAGGGGGCUUGUUGCAGGAUGUGGAAUACAGAAAAGUCCUUGAUUUAUGGGAUAAUAUUCAUAGUGAAAAGAAUAUGUGGCAAUAAUCAGCUUUUGCAUCAAGUGGAGCUGAGGCAGUGAAUAACUCUAUAAGUGAUUUAUUGUGAAUAUAUUCCAAGGCUACAAGUGUAAUUUCUACUUAGUGUGGAUGACAAAACAGUAGAAGAUUAUACAAACCACAACACCCAUAAUGACAAAAGUAAUGUUUUUCUUGCCUCGGCAGACUUGGAAAGUUCUGUGCUGCUGCCUUCUCAGACUUUCCUUUGGCAUCGCUUUGGGGAUAGAGAUUAGGUGAGUUACUGCUCAAGGGUGGGUUCAAAAAGUGACUACUACCUGUUGGCCUGCACAGGGAUGGACAGUUGUGAUUGGACACAGGCUGUAUCUGAAGGUGUAAGGUGCUUUUUACAAGGACUAUUUUUAUCCCUAGACUACAACUUGUGCUGAAAACUUUGUCAGAGAAUAGGUACUGACACUCAGUUUGCUCUUGCAAGUACAGCACGCACAAGUUAGGGAUGAUAAAAACAGGUUAACUUCAAUAUGUGCUGAGAACAUGAGAUUGUCAGUGACAAUGGGUCCAUUAGGGGUUUCAGAAGCCAGCAACACUGUAUGAAAUAGGAAGACUAUUAUUUAACUAUAAAGGUUUAUUAUUAUUAUUUGUUCCCGGUGAACCUUUCUAAUAAAUUCAAGCUCUAAUUUUACUCGGCGCAUGUCUAAGAGAAAUUGAGCACAAGGAAAAGAAAAAAAGAAUAUAGAAUAUUCCAUUUAGAAUAUAAUGUAUCCUAUAUUUGAAGAGGAAAAAGCUAUCUUAAAUCACAAGCUCAUUUCAGCAAAUGACAUCCUAUAAUCUAAGUUUCUCAUUGGCUCUUACCACACUAUAUAAUGGUGCAGAAAAAGAUACUUCACCUUCUCUGCCCUCCUUGUAUCCUACCACCUCUUGCAAAAACCCAAUCACUGCAUCGUUUUAUGACUGCUCAUUCUCAUAUUCAAAACAGAUGAGAGAAAAUGAUUCUAGAUGCUAUUACAAGAGUAGCAAAGUGUGGGAGGAGGAGCUCAGUGUUAUUGUACUAGAUGAUUUUAGUUUUCCAAUCUUAAUGAUUCUAUGGUUCUAUUAUUGCUACUUAAUUUGUGACCAAAAGAAUCAUGAACUUUGCAAAAAAAGUGCUACAGUCCUCCCCCCCACCCUUCUAUAAUAUCUGAAUGUGGUUUUGUGCUCAGUCAUUUACAGCAGUUCUUUAUUUGCAGAACUUCCAAAAACCACUUAGUUAUGUCUGGAGUACAUUCCUUAUGUAAUAUCCAAAAAAUAUCAUUUUCUAAGAAAAGUAGAUUGAGAAUUCCUUGUUACACUUUCUGUCACUGUUACAUUUUAGAUUUCAUUAAAGUUAGCUCAAAUGAAAAGUCACAAAAAGAACUUUAAGAUUUUUUUUUAGAUAUACUUGUGCUGAUUUGUGCUUAUUAUGCAUAACUUCUUUAAUCUCCCUAUUUAAAAAGUUGUUAAGAACAAGCUUCCAGACAGCAAGCCUGUUCUGAGUUCUCCCUAGGGACAUAUAUAUGGUGAUAAGGCCAAAUGGGCCACAGUCAUGGCCUUCUUUAAAAUUAUGGAAAAAGAUGGCUACUCCUUAUAAAAAUAAACUGGAUGAUCUCAAAGUAGGCCUGAAUGAUAAUACAGAAACUUGAAAGCCAAGCAAACCUCAAUGGCAAAUCCUGCGCUUGCUUAGGUUGAUAAAAAAUACUCAUUUGGAUGCCAGCUUCUAUCUUUUCAGCAACAAAAGGUCUUCCUUUACCAUUUUUACUUCUAUAGGUCUCAAAUGAAUGAAGGAUCUAGAAGAUUUAAAUCUAUUCUUCAAUUUUGUCCAUGUUUUAAAGCAGAAGAGUUACCCAAAUUUUAAGUGUAGACAGUUUCUAGUAGCAGUAGAGCCACACAGGAGGUGACUUCCCACAAUUAACUCACAGGUACCAUAUCAGCACAGAUUUGGCUGUCAGGAAGUAGAACAUCAUUAGAGACAACUAACUAUGAAAAGUCUUGGAGUAAGCUGCCCUUAUCCAAGAGAAGUGUCUUGUUAAGCUUUAGGGCAUGCCAAUCAGAAGUGUCAAGUUUCCUUUCUCUAUUAAAUGCACCUAGUAUAACAACUUGUUCCCUGUCAGACUACUGAAAUGCUGCAGGAAGGAAAACAGGUAAAUAUAUGUUUGUGUUUAUGAUUAUUUUUUAAAAUUUAGUAUCAAGUUUUCCAUAAAUUCUUACUUUGAUUUCUUCACAUAGAGCCAGUAGACAACACCUGCAACCAGGGCAACCAGCAGAAGACCGACUACAAUCCCCACGAUUAGCUUUGCCUGGUCAUUAACCUUUUCGCUGUUGUCAUCUGAAGCAAAGAAGAAAAAUUAAUGAGUUAACCUAUGACGAAGAAAAGUACUACAGCAUUUUAAAAAUAUUUGCAUUAGAAACAAGAAAAGGAGUCAGAACAUCAAAAUGAAAAAAAAAAAGAACAAACUUUUGAAACGAGCAAGCAAAAAAAACAAAACACUUAAAGCUUCAAGAAAGUCACGUUCUUAGUCAAUCAUGGUGCUGCCUGUUACGGAUCACGUUGAGUCCUGUUAUGAAGGACUGUUCAGUGACUCUGCAUAUGUCUUAGUCUGAGACAAUCAAGAGAAAGGGUUAUGGGGAUGGAAAACCAUACAUACCAUUUCUAUCCUCCGGUUCAUCAUAUUCUGGAAUACUUACUGAAAUGAAAAACAUUAAAGAUAAAACAUGUUAUAAAGUGAACGUUACUUUAAAUUAUUUGCAUGAGUGACGCAAAAAAUAAUAAUACAAUAUUUGCCAAAUAUUUUUGAGAAAAAGCCAUUAUUUUAUAACUGUAAGAUAUCCAACCGAAGAAUCUUGUUCAAUGCUUUAAUAUUAAUCUCAGAAAUAUUUAUGUGCUCCUCUUUCACAACUACUAGCUUCUUGAUUCAUUUCCUCAUUGAAAAUUGAAAAAGUCAAUACCACUGAUGAUAAACUGGAAUUUGAGGAGUAAAAGAUUGUUUAUUACUACAUAACCAAGACUUUGUCUUUUAGAACUAAUAUUUUAUGUAUACCAAAUGUAUAUUCUUUUGUACCAUCAUGAUGUAAUAUUAACUAUAAUACUCCUAAGUACAUAUGUGUGUGUAUAUGUAUAAAACUAACUUAUGCUUUAUAAAUAUAUAUAUUAUAUACUUAUAUUGAAUAUGAAAUUAAUAUAUUGCAUACAUGAUAUAACUAGUCAAGGAAGAUUAUGUGACUUCAUCCAGAAAGCUAUCAACACAUUCUGUACACUAUUAUACUAUUAUGGUUCUAUUUGCCAUUGCUUGCCUUUUAAGACAAAAAGGUAACUACCUUAGUUCCAACAUCAUUAUGCACAUCCAGCCUUCAUUUGUGUGUGAAGUGUGGAUACUUUACGUGAAACUACAACUUUCAGAAAAUGGUCUUUAGAAGAUACUCACUAGCAGAGACAUUCAGAGAGGUCACAGUCCUUUCUAGCUCAUUUUCUGCAAUGCAUGUUAAUGUUACAUUUUCCUCAGGAGCAAUUAUAAUUUUACUGGAAAAUUUUCCAUUAACAUAUUUGGUCUCCUCUGUCUGAAAAGGUUAAAAAAAAAAAUAAAUGAAGGUUGGUAUCCUUGAAAAAUGUAAAGAACAAAAAAUUUAUUAUCUGUAUUUACGCAGUGAAAAUGUUUAGAGAGAAAUAACAUCAACAAUAUUUCAGUUUUCCAAAUAAUACAUUAUUUUAUUACACGGUAAUGUGAGCAUUUGGAUUACCCAGUCUUUUUUUGUAGCUAUAUCUACAUUUUGCACAGCAUGUACUGCAAUAAGACUUGAAAAGAGGUGUUUUUUAGAAUUUCACCACACCCUGUACUUGUUUUUGUUCCUUCCAACUAGUUAAAGAAAAUCAAAGGAACAAAAUUCUCCAAGGAAACCCCAAAAUGAGACUUCUAAGUUUCCGUUUCUUUCCAGCUUGAUCUUUCUCAUUUAUGCCUUUGUAAGGGGAAAUGGCCACUGUAAGAUUUCCACUUUACAAGAUUCCAAGUCAUGAGUUGUUUCCACCCAAGAAUCAUUUUGGCAGGCUACAUCUAUUUAGUGGUACCUGCAGCAUCUGUGCUGUAAUGGUGAUAUCGAGGUGUUCCUUACAUUUGCUGUACGUCAUUCUUACAUUAAUACCAUGUCCAGAAAAACAUUCGAUUAAUUAGUUACAUAGGCACACACAAUUCCUAACCUACAGUUGCAAGUAAAUGGGCACGUCUUCACAGUCAUGUAAUUUCUGUAGGACUAAAGCAAAACCUUAGGAAGUAGUGAAAUUUGCAGGAACAAUGGGCAUUAUACUUCCAGUCUUUGUUUGUAUACAUGUCUAAUUUAUUUUUCCUGUCAAGACAAAAUAUGACAAUGCUCUGCAUGGGUUUUGGUUAUCAAUAUGAAAAUAUUCCAGUUUGAUCAUUUUUCAGAUAUUUUUCAAGCUGCUUAAGUCUCCUUAUUUCUCCCCUAGGCUGACUGCAUUUUGGUUUUGUUUCCAGUAAGAAACAAUGGGUAUAACCAUACAAAAAUAACAUAUACAUUAGGGUAAAACUGGAAAGUCCAUUAGGAACUAUAGCGAGCAUAUUUUCUGAUUUUUACUUGUGACACUUGCCCCAGUUAAUGCCUACAUCAAGCACCUUACUGCUUUCUAACACAAAUUUCACAGUCCAUCAGUAUUUGUAAAUCCUAUAUGUAUUGGUAAAGCCACCACAUUAUCCAAGCAAAAUGACUGAAUAACUUAAAAAUGCAGAUUUUAAUUGUAAACUUCUCUUUUUAUUUUUAGCUUUGUCUUGUAGGUGAUAGAACUUGUGUACCUUUGUCUGCUAUAUUCAAAAGCCCUUCAUCAUCAGAAAUUAUCCAUGCAGGUACCAGGUAGCUACUGUCCACGUAGCCUGUAAUAUCAUUUAACCCUCCUUCUCUCAAAGAAAUAAAACUGAUUAAACUCCUUCAAUCUAA
Gallus gallus (chicken) is the source of this 15347-nucleotide long non-coding RNA. RefSeq lists it as uncharacterized. The record is from RefSeq and is a predicted model, not a curated record. Lineage: Eukaryota; Metazoa; Chordata; Aves; Galliformes; Phasianidae. The transcript is spliced from 4 exons.